RNAcentral lists this transfer RNA (75 nucleotides) under Candidatus Woesearchaeota archaeon. Its description in RNAcentral is "tRNA-Glu". It matches the Rfam family "tRNA". Rfam says of the family: Transfer RNA (tRNA) molecules are approximately 80 nucleotides in length. Lineage: Archaea; Nanobdellati; Candidatus Woesearchaeota. The record is from RNAcentral.
GCCCCUAUGGUGUAGUCCGGUCAAUCAUCUCAGGCCUUCGCCCUGAGGACGGGGGUUCGAAUCCCUCUGGGGGCA